AUGCACGCUGGCGGCGUGCCUAAUACCUGCAAGUCGAGCGAACAGACGAGGAGCUUGCUCCUCUGACGUUAGCGGCGGACGGGUGAGUAACACGUGGAUAACCUACCUAUAAGACUGGGAUAACUUCGGGAAACCGGAGCUAAUACCGGAUAAUAUAUUGAACCGCAUGGUUCAAUAGUGAAAGACGGUUUUGCUGUCACUUAUAGAUGGAUCCGCGCCGCAUUAGCUAGUUGGUAGGGUAACGGCUUACCAAGGCAACGAUGCGUAGCCGACCUGAGAGGGUGAUCGGCCACACUGGAACUGAGACACGGUCCAGACUCCUACGGGAGGCAGCAGUAGGGAAUCUUCCGCAAUGGGCGAAAGCCUGACGGAGCAACGCCGCGUGAGUGAUGAAGGUCUUCGGAUCGUAAAACUCUGUUAUUAGGGAAGAACAAAUGUGUAAGUAACUAUGCACGUCUUGACGGUACCUAAUCAGAAAGCCACGGCUAACUACGUG
This 496-nucleotide ribosomal RNA is filed under the name uncultured bacterium. Its description in RNAcentral is "partial 16S ribosomal RNA". It matches the Rfam family "Bacterial small subunit ribosomal RNA", at positions 29 to 507 of the family's 1533-position model. The record is from RNAcentral.